UCAGCGAUUGGUUGAAAGUUUCUUCUCCUUCUAGAACACUCGCCUUCACUCUCUCUUAAUUCUUUUACAACAGCAAAUGCAUCAAUGUUUAUGUGCGGUCUGAAAAAUGUGCGCGGUCUGACAAAUCUAUUGCGCGGCCACUUUGACUGGCCUGCGCGGCCGCGCACGCGCGCAGCUUAAAGGGAACAUUGAACAGCAGUCAUGCUAAUUUUCUCAAUUUGCUUUUCUAUUUCUACUAGCAAUUAUGUGAGCUGCAGUCUGGAUCCUGCCUCUGUCAGAUGACCUAACACAAAUGGAAAGAUGACAUCGACCCUUGCAAGGACUUCAGACGAUGCCUGCACUGGACUACAUACAGUGAUUUUCAGUAGUCCGUGUCAAAUUUUAUUUCAAGGUGAUCCUAAAGCAACAAAGAGAGAGGCAUGGCGAGGAAGAAGUGGUGUCCAGAUGUUUAAAAGGCGGUGUUCGGGACAGGAAACAAAGGCAACAAAGAGGAACCUCUAAAGGCACUGCUUGCAGAGACAAGUGUAGGAAACAAAGACAGAAGACCUGACGAGAAUGUUUUAUGAUUAAAUGUUUUUGUUAUGUACAUGCACAUUAUUAUUUACAAUAUAUUUCUAAGAUACAUAAAUAUGUGACCUGUAUAUGAAAUCCAGGCUACUGUCUUAACAUCUAAUGACAUCUAAAGUUUGAAUUUUUUGAUUUAACAUUGAGUUCAGUCUUUGGCAUGACCUUACUCAGUCAGUAUUGAAGAUGUAAAGAUUAUAUUUUCAGAGAAUGUUUUCUGAAUUGUGUAGGAUGAUUUUAUGUAGAAAACAGUAAGUCACAAAGAAAUACUUUUCUGGGUUUUCACAGGCCGUGUCCCAUUUGUACAACAUAUGUGAAUUAUCUUGAGACUAAAACUUCUGAAAUCCAAACUGUUAUAUUUUAGCAUUUCAAAUGCAGCCACCCUUUGCCUAGAAUUUGAAAUAUAUAUACCCUUGGGUUUUUUCAGUAAUUUGAGAUCUCACCCUGAGAUAUUUUCAAAGAAAUUUCCAUGUAUUAUGGGCUUGAAUUACUUGUUUAUUUUAUCAUUUUGUCCAAGUAAUUUGAAAAAAAAGUUUUAAAUUAAAUUUUAGUUCUCAAUUGAAAUAAAUGGAUAUGUUGAGACUAUAUUUUUGUCCACAAACGUAAUUGAAUCA
This is a non-coding RNA of Paramisgurnus dabryanus, 1178 nucleotides long. The record is from RefSeq and is a predicted model, not a curated record. NCBI's taxonomy places the organism in Eukaryota, Metazoa, Chordata, Actinopteri, Cypriniformes, Cobitidae.